UACAGAGGUCCCGAGCGUUGUUCGGAUUCACUGGGCGUAAAGGGUGCGUAGGUGGUUAGGUAAGUCCGAUGUGAAAUCUCCAGGCUCAACCUGGAAAUGGCAUUGGAUACUAUUUAGCUUGAGGAGUGGAGGGGGGACUGGAAUUCUCGGUGUAGCAGUGAAAUGCGUAGAUAUCGAGAGGAACACCAGUGGCGAAGGCGAGUCCCUGGACACUUCCUGACACUGAGGCACGAAAGCGUGGGGAGCAAACAGG
RNAcentral lists this ribosomal RNA (253 nucleotides) under uncultured bacterium. RNAcentral's name for it is "partial 16S ribosomal RNA". It matches the Rfam family "Bacterial small subunit ribosomal RNA", at positions 524 to 776 of the family's 1533-position model. The record is from RNAcentral.